This 481-nucleotide ribosomal RNA is filed under the name uncultured bacterium. Its description in RNAcentral is "bacterial SSU rRNA". It matches the Rfam family "Bacterial small subunit ribosomal RNA", at positions 903 to 1397 of the family's 1533-position model. The record is from RNAcentral.
AAAUGAAUAGACGGGGACCCGCACAAGCGGAGGAGCGCGUGGUUUAAUUCGACGGCAAUCGAAGAACCUUACCAGGGUUUGAAAUGUAUCUGCAUGCCCUAUGAAAAUAGGGAGGCUUUCGAAGGUGAUACACAGGUGCUGCAUGGCCGUCGUCAGCUCGUGUCGUGAGAUGUAGGGUUAAGUCCCGAAACGAGCGCAACCCCUAUCCUAUGUUACAAGUGUCUUAGGAAACCGCCUCGGUAAAACGAGGAGGAAGGUGGGGAUGACGUCUGGUCCGCAUAGCCCUUAUGUCCUGGGCUACACACGCGCUACAAUGGCCGAUACAAUGGGAAGCCAAAUCGUAAGAUGGAGCUGAUCCUCAAAAUUGGUCUCAGUUCGGAUUGAGGUCUGAAACUCGACCUCAUGAAGUCGGAUUCGCUAGUAAUCGUGAAUCAGCCAUGUCACGGUGAAUACGUUCUCGGGUCUUGCACACACCGCCCGU